This 1409-nucleotide ribosomal RNA is filed under the name uncultured prokaryote. RNAcentral describes it as "partial 16S ribosomal RNA". It matches the Rfam family "Bacterial small subunit ribosomal RNA". The record is from RNAcentral.
AGAGUUUGAUCCUGGCUCAGAACGAACACUGGCGGCGUGGAUUAGGCAUGCAAGUCGAACGGGAAAGCUCCCUUCGGGGAGUGAGUAUAGUGGCGAACGGGUGAGUAACGCGUGGGAAACCUGCCCUUCAGCGGGGGAUAACAGGCCUAACGGCCUGCUAAUCCGCAUACGUCCCUGGGAUCGCAUGGUCCCGGGAAGAAAGGUGGCCUCUCUUUAGAAGCUGCUACUGAAGGAUGGUCCCGCGUCCCAUUAGCUUGUUGGUGGGGUAAUGGCCUACCAAGGCGACGAUGGGUAGCCGGCCUGAGAGGGUGUCCGGCCACACUGGGACUGAGAUACGGCCCAGACUCCUACGGGAGGCAGCAGUCGAGAAGCUUCGGCAAUGGGCGAAAGCCUGACCGAGCGACGCCGCGUGGGUGAGGAAGGUCCUCGGAUCGUAAAACCCUGUCAGGAGGGACGAAAACCGGAUUGGUUAAUACCCUUUCCGCUUGACGGUACCUCUAGAGGAAGCUCCGGCUAACUCCGUGCCAGCAGCCGCGGUAACACGGAGGGAGCAAACGUUGUUCGGAAUCACUGGGCGUAAAGGGCGCGUAGGCGGCUUCUUAAGUCGGGGGUGAAAUCCUGUGGCUCAACCACAGGCCUGCCUCCGAAACUUCGAAGCUUGAGGCCGUGAGAGGAAAGCGGAAUUCCUGGUGUAUCGGUGAAAUGAGUUGAUAUCUGGAGGAACACCGGUGGCGAAGGCGGCUUUCUGGUACGGUUCUGACGCUGAGGUGCGAAAGCAUGGGAGCAAACGGGAUUAGAUACCCCGGUAGUCCAUGCCGUAAACGAUGAGAACUAGGUGUCGGGGGUAUCGACCCCCUCGGUGCCGAAGCUAACGCGAUGAGUACUCCGCCUGGGAACUACGGUCGCAAGACUAAAACUCAAAGGAAUUGACGGGGACCCGCACAAGCGGUGGAGCAUGUGGUUUAAUUCGAAGCAACGCGCAGAACCUUACCAGGGUUUGACAUAUACUUGACCGCCGUGGAAAUAGGUUUUCCUCUUUGGAGGCCGGGUGACAGGUGCUGCAUGGCUGUCGUCAGCUCGUGUCGUGAGAUGUUGGGUUAAGUCCCGCAACGAGCGCAACCCUUAUCCUUAGUUGCCAGCGAGUAAUGUCGGGAACUCUAGGGAGACUGCCUGUGUCAAGCAGGAGGAAGGUGGGGACGACGUCAAGUCAUCAUGGCCCUUAUGUCCAGGGCUACACACGUGCUACAAUGGCCGGUACAAAGGGCAGCAAUACCGCGAGGUGGAGCGAAUCCAAAAAGCCGGUCUCAGUUCGGAUUGGAGUCUGCAACUCGACUCCAUGAAGUUGGAAUCGCUAGUAAUCGCGUAUCAGCGUGACGCGGCGAAUACGUUCCCGGGCCUUGUACACACCG